Small nucleolar RNA from Capsicum annuum, 106 nucleotides. Lineage: Eukaryota; Viridiplantae; Streptophyta; Magnoliopsida; Solanales; Solanaceae. The record is from RefSeq and is a predicted model, not a curated record.
ACUUCAUGAUUUGGGCAUUUGUCUAAUUUUCCAUUAAAUCAUUCCCAAGCUUCAAACAAUGGUUCUUCAUUUAUUUUCCAAAAAUUUAGAAUCUCGUCCUGCUCUU